RNAcentral lists this ribosomal RNA (466 nucleotides) under uncultured bacterium. RNAcentral's name for it is "bacterial SSU rRNA". It matches the Rfam family "Bacterial small subunit ribosomal RNA", at positions 328 to 792 of the family's 1533-position model. The record is from RNAcentral.
UUCCCAGACUCCUACGGGAGGCAGCAGUGAGGAAUAUUGGUCAAUGGUCGGGAGACUGAACCAGCCAAGCCGCGUGAGGGAUGAAGGUACAGAGUAUCGUAAACCUCUUUUGUCAGGGAACAAAGGCGGGGACGCGUCCCCGGAUGAGUGUACCUGAAGAAAAAGCAUCGGCUAACUCCGUGCCAGCAGCCGCGGUAAUACGGAGGAUGCGAGCGUUAUCCGGAUUUAUUGGGUUUAAAGGGUGCGUAGGCGGUCCGUUAAGUCAGCGGUAAAAUUGCGGGGCUCAACCCCGUCGAGCCGUUGAAACUGGCAGACUUGAGUUGGCGAGAAGUACGCGGAAUGCGCGGUGUAGCGGUGAAAUGCAUAGAUAUCGCGCAGAACUCCGAUUGCGAAGGCAGCGUACCGGCGCCAGACUGACGCUGAGGCACGAAAGCGUGGGGAUCGAACAGGAUUAGAUACCCGCGUA